RNAcentral lists this small nucleolar RNA (78 nucleotides) under Erinaceus europaeus (western European hedgehog). RNAcentral's name for it is "Small nucleolar RNA SNORA70 (ENSEEUG00000023191.1)". It matches the Rfam family "Small nucleolar RNA SNORA70". From Rfam's summary of the family: snoRNA U70 seems to be exclusive to mammals and is a member of the H/ACA class of snoRNA which contain H (ANANNA) and ACA box motifs. H/ACA box snoRNAs are involved in the conversion of uridines to pseudouridines (5-ribosyluracil) a constituent of structural RNAs (transfer, ribosomal, small nuclear, and small nucleolar). The record is from RNAcentral. Lineage: Eukaryota; Metazoa; Chordata; Mammalia; Eulipotyphla; Erinaceidae.
CAUAAGGAAUCAAAAAGCUGGGUAGUGUAUGCAGCCUGUUGCUUGUACAGGCUGCCCUAAGGGACCCUGGAGACAGCC